GACGUAGGGCGCGAGCGUUGUCCGGAUUUAUUGGGCGUAAAGAGCUCGUAGGCGGCUUGUCGCGUCGUUCGUGAAAACCUGCAGCUCAACUGCAGGCUUGCGGUCGAUACGGGCAGGCUAGAGUUCGGUAGGGGAGACUGGAAUUCCUGGUGUAGCGGUGAAAUGCGCAGAUAUCAGGAGGAACACCGGUGGCGAAGGCGGGACUCUGGGCCGAUACUGACGCUGAGGAGCGAAAGCGUGGGGAGCGAACAGG
Molecule: ribosomal RNA, 253 nt
Filed under: uncultured bacterium
Lineage: Bacteria
Description: partial 16S ribosomal RNA
Rfam family: Bacterial small subunit ribosomal RNA
Source: RNAcentral